Molecule: ribosomal RNA, 661 nt
Filed under: uncultured fungus
Lineage: Eukaryota; Fungi
Description: eukaryotic LSU rRNA
Rfam family: Eukaryotic large subunit ribosomal RNA
Source: RNAcentral
CCCGCUGAACUUAAGCAUAUCAAUAAGCGGAGGAAAAAGAAACUAACAAGGAUUCCCCUAGUAACUGCGAGUGAAGCGGGAAGAGCUCAAAUUUGAAAUCUGGUGGUCCUCGACCGUCCGAGUUGUAAUCUAGAGAAGUGUUACCUGUGCUGGACCAUGUACAAGUCUUCUGGAAUGGAGCAUCAUAGAGGGUGAGAAUCCCGUCUUUGACAUGGACUGCCGGUGCGUUGUGGUAUGCUCUCAAAGAGUCGAGUUGUUUGGGAAUGCAGCUCAAAAUGGGUGGUAAAUUCCAUCUAAAGCUAAAUACAGGCGAAAGACCGAUAGCGAACAAGUACCGUGAGGGAAAGAUGAAAAGCACUUUGGAAAGAGAGUUAAACAGUACGUGAAAUUGUUGAAAGGGAAACGCUUGAAGUCAGUCGCGUCUUCAGAAAUUCAGCCUGGCUUCUGCCUGGUGUACUUCUCUGUUGGACGGGUCAGCAUCAAUUUCGCCUGUCAGAUAAAGGUGAGAGGAAGGUCGCUCCUCUGGGUGAGAGACACCCUUCCCUCGCAAGUGGCGGCUGGGAGUGACGCACCCAGCGCCCCUCUAAUGCCCGGGGUUCGCCCACGAAACGUGCUUAGGAUGCUGGCGUAAUGGCUUUAAACGACCCGUCUUGAAACACGG